RNAcentral lists this ribosomal RNA (1103 nucleotides) under metagenome. RNAcentral describes it as "bacterial SSU rRNA". It matches the Rfam family "Bacterial small subunit ribosomal RNA", at positions 429 to 1520 of the family's 1533-position model. The record is from RNAcentral.
ACUCCUGUCAUUGGGGAGUAAGACUUAUGCGUUAAGAGCGUGUAAGUUUGAUAGUACCCAAAGAGGAAGGGACGGCUAACUUCGUGCCAGCAGCCGCGGUAAUACGAAGGUCCCAAGCGUUGUUCGGAAUAACUGGGCGUAAAGCGUGUGUAGGCUGCGCGGAAAGUCAAAUGUGAAAGCCAGAGGCUCAACCUCUGAACUGCAUUCGAUACUCCCGUGCUAGAGUAAUGGAGAGGUAAGUGGAAUUCCUGGUGUAGCAGUGAAAUGCGUAGAUAUCAGGAGGAACAUCAAUGGCGAAGGCAACUUACUGGACAUUUACUGACGCUCAGACACGAAGGCUAGGGGAGCGAAAGGGAUUAGAUACCCCUGUAGUCCUAGCAGUAAACGGUGCUCGCUUGGUGUGGGAGGAUUCGACCCCUUCUGUGCCGGAGCUAACGCGUUAAGCGAGCCGCCUGGGAAGUACGGUCGCAAGACUAAAACUCAAAGAAAUUGACGGGGACCCGCACAAGCGGUGGAGUAUGUGGCUUAAUUCGAUGCAACGCGAAGAACCUUACCUAGGCUUGACAUGCUUGUCGUACUCUCCCGAAAAGGAGAGGUCACUUCGGGUGGACAAUGCACAGGUGCUGCAUGGCCGUCGUCAGCUCGUGUCGUGAGAUGUUUGGUUAAGUCCAGCAACGAGCGCAACCCCUGUGAACUGUUGCCAGCGCGUAAAGGCGGGGACUCUGUUCAGACUGCCCAGAUCAACUGGGAGGAAGGUGGGGACGACGUCAGGUCAGUAUGGCCCUUACGCCUAGGGCUGCACACGUACUACAAUGCCCAGCACAAUGAGAACCGAUACCGCGAGGUGGAGGAAAUCUGCAAAACUGGGCCCAGUUCGGAUUGGAGGCUGCAACUCGCCUCCAUGAAGUUGGAAUCGCUAGUAAUGCCGUAUCAGCUACGACGGCGUGAAUACGUUCCCGGGUCUUGUACACACCGCCCGUCACAUCAUGGAAGUCGGUCGCACCCGAAGUAUAUGCGCUAACUUUAUUGAAGCAGUAUCCUAAGGUGAGGCUGGUAACUGGGAUGAAGUCGUAACAAGGUAGCCGUAGGGGAACCUGCGGCUG